CAUAGGAGAAGUCGUAACAAGGUUUCCGUAGGUGAACCUGCGGAAGGAUCAUUGUCGAACCUGCUUCAUGCAAAAACGACCCGCGAAUAAGUUCUUACGUUUUGGUGGGGCGAGGAUGGCUCGUUCGCGACCAUUCUCGUCCCGCUCCUAACAACCAAAGGCGCGGGAUGCGCCAAGGAAAAUCGAAACGAAUCUGACUCCUGCCUCGGUGCAUUGCAUCGUGUCGGCGAGUGUAUUCGAUAAGUCAUAACGACUCUCGGCAACGGAUAUCUCGGCUCUCGCAUCGAUGAAGAACGUAGCAAAAUGCGAUACGUGGUGUGAAUUGCAGGAUCCCGUGAACCAUCGAGUUUUUGAACGCAAGUUGCGCCCGAAGCCUUUAGGCCGAGGGCACGUCUGCCUGGGCGUCACGCACUGUUGCCCCCCAAACCCCCUCAGUCCUCCACGGAGGAUUGGCGAGGCGCGUGGGGGGCGUAAAGUGGCUUCCCGUCGGCUUUGUCCCGCGGUUGGCCUAAAAAUGAAUCCCUAGCCGCGGUGCGCGCGGCAUUCGGUGGUCAACGAUAGCUUUCGUUACCCCGUCGUGCGCUCCCGCGUUGCAAAGGAUGUCACCGAUGUAACCUGAUGCCUAGCUCUGCGAAGAGCGCAGCUUACAACGCGACCCCUGGUCAGGCGGGGCUACCCGCUGAAUUUAAGCAUAUCAAUAAGCGG
This 705-nucleotide ribosomal RNA is filed under the name embryophyte environmental sample. RNAcentral's name for it is "eukaryotic LSU rRNA". The stretch from base 252 to 407 matches the Rfam family "5.8S ribosomal RNA". Lineage: Eukaryota; Viridiplantae; Streptophyta. The record is from RNAcentral.